GACGAACGCUGGCGGCGUGCUUAACACAUGCAAGUCGAACGGAAAGGCCCUGCUUUUGUGGGGUGCUCGAGUGGCGAACGGGUGAGUAACACGUGAGUAACCUGCCCUUGACUUUGGGAUAACUUCAGGAAACUGGGGCUAAUAUCGGAUAGGAGCUCCUGCUGCAUGGUGGGGGUUGGAAAGUUUCGGCGGUUGGGGAUGGACUCGCGGCUUACCAGCUUGUUGGUGGGGUAGUGGCUUACGAAGGCUUUGACGGGUAGCCGGCCUGAGAGGGUGAACGGGCACCAUGGGACUGAGGGACGGCGCAGAAUGCAACGUGAGGCAGUAGGGGGAAGCAUUACACAACGGGCGGACGCCUGAUACGGCAACGCUGCGUGCGUGAUGCCGUCCUUCUGGUUGUGAACCGCUUUCGCCUGUGACGAAGCGUGAGUGACGGUAAUGGAUAAAGAAGCACCGGCUAACUACGUG
RNAcentral lists this ribosomal RNA (468 nucleotides) under uncultured bacterium. RNAcentral's name for it is "partial 16S ribosomal RNA". It matches the Rfam family "Bacterial small subunit ribosomal RNA", at positions 28 to 507 of the family's 1533-position model. The record is from RNAcentral.